This 253-nucleotide ribosomal RNA is filed under the name uncultured bacterium. Its description in RNAcentral is "partial 16S ribosomal RNA". It matches the Rfam family "Bacterial small subunit ribosomal RNA", at positions 524 to 776 of the family's 1533-position model. The record is from RNAcentral.
UACGUAGGGGGCAAGCGUUGUCCGGAUUUAUUGGGCGUAAAGAGCUCGUAGGCGGUUUGUCGCGUCUGCUGUGAAAACCCGAGGCUCAACCUCGGGCCUGCAGUGGGUACGGGCAGACUAGAGUGCGGUAGGGGAGAUUGGAAUUCCUGGUGUAGCGGUGGAAUGCGCAGAUAUCAGGAGGAACACCGAUGGCGAAGGCAGAUCUCUGGACAGUUCCUGACACUGAGACACGAAGGCCAGGGGAGCAAACGGG